GAGACUGGGAGUAACACCUGGAAACAGAUGCUAAUACCGGAUAACAACACUAGACGCAUGUCUAGAGUUUAAAAGAUGGCUCUGCUAUCACUCUUGGAUNGGACCUGCGGUGCAUUAGCUAGUUGGUAAGGUAACGGCUUACCAAGGCAAUGAUGCAUAGCCGAGUUGAGAGACUGAUCGGCCACAUUGGGACUGAGACACGGUCCAAACUCCUACGGGAGGCAGCAGGU
This 230-nucleotide ribosomal RNA is filed under the name uncultured bacterium. Its description in RNAcentral is "partial 16S ribosomal RNA". It matches the Rfam family "Bacterial small subunit ribosomal RNA", at positions 134 to 354 of the family's 1533-position model. The record is from RNAcentral.